This 497-nucleotide ribosomal RNA is filed under the name uncultured bacterium. Its description in RNAcentral is "partial 16S ribosomal RNA". It matches the Rfam family "Bacterial small subunit ribosomal RNA", at positions 28 to 507 of the family's 1533-position model. The record is from RNAcentral.
GAUGAACGCUGGCGGCGUGCCUAAUACAUGCAAGUCGAGCGAACGGACGAGAAGCUUGCUUCUCUGAUGUUAUCGGCGGACGGGUGAGUAACACGUGGAUAACCUACCUAUAAGACUGGGAUAACUUCGGGAAACCGGAGCUACGACCGAAUGAUAUUUUGAACCUCAUGGUUCAAAAGUGAAAGACGCUCUUUCUGUCACUUAUAGAUUGCUCCGCGUUGAAUUAGCUAGUUGGUAAGGUAACUGCUUACCAAGGCAACGAUGCAUAGCCGACCUGAGAGGGUGAUCGGACAGCCGGGAACUGAGAAAGGGUACAGACUCCUACGGGAGGCAGCAGUAGGGAAUCUUCCGCAAGGGGCGAAAGCCGGACGGAGCAACGCGGCGUGAGUGAUGAAGGUCUUCGGAUCGUAAAACUCUGUUAUUAGGGAAGAACAUAUGUGUAAGUAACUGUGCACAUCUUGACGGUACCGAAUCAGAAAGCCACGGCUAACUACGUG